UACGAAGGGGGCGAGCGUUGUUCGGAGUUACUGGGCGUAAAGGGCGCGUAGGCGGCGAUCCAAGUUAGGCGUGAAAGCCCCGGGCUUAACCUGGGAAUUGCGCUUAAGACUGGACUGCUUGAGUGCGGGAGAGGUGAGUGGAAUUCCCAGUGUAGAGGUGAAAUUCGUAGAUAUUGGGAAGAACACCAGUGGCGAAGGCGGCUCACUGGCCCGCAACUGACGCUGAGGUGCGAAAGCGUGGGGAGCAAACAGG
RNAcentral lists this ribosomal RNA (253 nucleotides) under uncultured bacterium. RNAcentral describes it as "partial 16S ribosomal RNA". It matches the Rfam family "Bacterial small subunit ribosomal RNA", at positions 524 to 776 of the family's 1533-position model. The record is from RNAcentral.